UACGGGGGGGGCAAGCGUUGUUCGGAAUUACUGGGCGUAAAGGGUGCGUAGGCGGUCUGUUAAGUCGGAUGUGAAAGCUCGGAGCUCAACUCCGAAAUGGCAUUGGAAACUACCUUGCUCGAGGGUUGGAGGGGGGACUGGAAUACUUGGUGUAGCAGUGAAAUGCGUAGAUAUCAAGUGGAACACCAGUGGCGAAGGCGAGUCCCUGGACAACUCCUGACACUGAGGCACGAAAGCUAGGGGAGCAAACAGG
This 253-nucleotide ribosomal RNA is filed under the name uncultured bacterium. Its description in RNAcentral is "partial 16S ribosomal RNA". It matches the Rfam family "Bacterial small subunit ribosomal RNA", at positions 524 to 776 of the family's 1533-position model. The record is from RNAcentral.